This 69-nucleotide transfer RNA is filed under the name Rattus norvegicus (Norway rat). It matches the Rfam family "tRNA". From Rfam's summary of the family: Transfer RNA (tRNA) molecules are approximately 80 nucleotides in length. The record is from Rfam by way of RNAcentral. Lineage: Eukaryota; Metazoa; Chordata; Mammalia; Rodentia; Muridae.
GGGGAUUUAGCUCAGUGGUAGAGAGCUUGCCUAGCAAGUGCAAGGCCCUGGGUUCGAUCCCCAGCCCCA